UGAUAGAUGCCUUCAAUAUACCUAAUGCCUGCACCAUAACAAAACUCUUCAUAACCCCUUACAAACAAAUCAACAAAAUGCGAAUUUUGGUUACAUGCACUGCAAGAAAAUCGCUAAUAGAUGACAGGCCAGAAGCGUCAGAUAAAAAAAUUACCUCAUCGAGUCCGAUCUGCACCUCCGUCUCUUUCACAUCCGAGAGAGGAACUCCGAGAUCGUUGAGAAUCAAAAUGCUUGAAGCUAAACUAGGGUUCAUGGUUAAAUCAUCGGCUACAAAAAACAUCGUUUGCUUCUUCACAUAUCCUUCCUUGCUCGACUUGAACGAUGAAACCAACGUUCCUUCUUUCUCAUGAAAAGUAUACUCAU
This 363-nucleotide long non-coding RNA is filed under the name Salvia miltiorrhiza (redroot sage). Its description in RNAcentral is "long non-coding RNA (SMIL_LNC008844)". Lineage: Eukaryota; Viridiplantae; Streptophyta; Magnoliopsida; Lamiales; Lamiaceae. The record is from RNAcentral.